This 253-nucleotide ribosomal RNA is filed under the name uncultured bacterium. RNAcentral describes it as "partial 16S ribosomal RNA". It matches the Rfam family "Bacterial small subunit ribosomal RNA", at positions 524 to 776 of the family's 1533-position model. The record is from RNAcentral.
UACGGAGGGUGCGAGCGUUAAUCGGAAUUACUGGGCGUAAAGGGUGCGUAGGUGGUUAUAUAAGAUAUGUGUGAAAUCCCUGGGCUCAACCUGGGAAAGUCAGAUAUGACUGUAUGACUAGAGUAUGGGAGAGGGUAGUGGAAUUUCCGGUGUAGCGGUGAAAUGCGUAGAGAUCGGAAGGAACACCAGUGGCGAAGGCGGCUACCUGGCCUAAUACUGACACUGAGGCACGAAAGCGUGGGGAGCAAACAGG